Molecule: signal recognition particle RNA, 98 nt
Filed under: Chitinophagaceae bacterium
Lineage: Bacteria; Pseudomonadati; Bacteroidota; Chitinophagia; Chitinophagales; Chitinophagaceae
Description: signal recognition particle sRNA small type
Rfam family: Bacteroidales small SRP
About the family: The non-coding component of the signal recognition particle in Bacteroides
Source: RNAcentral
CGGCAGGUCUUACACAACCAGCUCCUUUUGACUCCCCCAGGACAGGAAUGUAGCAAGGGUAGAUGGUUGAGCGGUGUGAUGUAAGUAAUCUGCCAUUU